AUUGAACGCUGGCGGCAUGCCUUACACAUGCAAGUCGAACGGCAGCACGGGAGCAAUCCUGGUGGCGAGUGGCGAACGGGUGAGUAAUAUAUCGGAACGUGCCCAGUCGUGGGGAUAACGUAGCGAAAGCUACGCUAAUACCGCAUACGAUCUAUGGAUGAAAGCGGGGGAUCGCAAGACCUCGCGCGAUUGGAGCGGCCGAUAUCAGAUUAGGUAGUUGGUGAGGUAAAGGCUCACCAAGCCGACGAUCUGUAGCUGGUCUGAGAGGACGACCAGCCACACUGGGACUGAGACACGGCCCAGACUCCUACGGGAGGCAGCAGUGGGGAAUUUUUGGGACAAUGGGCGCAAGCCUGAUCCAGCAAUGCCGCGUGCAGGAUGAAGGCCUCGGUUGUAACUAG
RNAcentral lists this ribosomal RNA (401 nucleotides) under uncultured bacterium. RNAcentral describes it as "bacterial SSU rRNA". It matches the Rfam family "Bacterial small subunit ribosomal RNA", at positions 30 to 432 of the family's 1533-position model. The record is from RNAcentral.